CCUACGGGAGGCAGCAGUGGGGGAUAUUGGACAAUGGGGGGAACCCUGAUCCAGCGGCGCCGCGUGAGUGAAGAAGUAUUUCGGUAUGUAAAGCUCUGUCAGCAGGGAAGAAAGCAAUGACGGUACCUGACCAAGAAGCCCCGGCUAACUACGUGCCAGCAGCCGCGGUAAUACGUAGGGGGCAAGCGUUAUCCGGAAUCACUGGGUGUAAAGGGAGCGUAGACGGCGGAGCAAGCCUGAAGUGAAAGGCGGGGGCCCAACCCCUGGACUGCUUUGGGAACUGUACGGCUGGGACGCAGGAGGGG
RNAcentral lists this ribosomal RNA (305 nucleotides) under uncultured bacterium. RNAcentral's name for it is "bacterial SSU rRNA". It matches the Rfam family "Bacterial small subunit ribosomal RNA", at positions 338 to 657 of the family's 1533-position model. The record is from RNAcentral.